GGGUGAGUGGUGAAAUUGGUAUACACGCAGCCUUGAGGUGGCUGUGACGCGAGGGUGGCUGUGCCGCGAGGCGUAGAGGUUCAAGUCCUCUCUCACCCACCA
This 102-nucleotide transfer RNA is filed under the name Candidatus Saccharimonadota bacterium. RNAcentral's name for it is "tRNA-OTHER". It matches the Rfam family "tRNA". From Rfam's summary of the family: Transfer RNA (tRNA) molecules are approximately 80 nucleotides in length. Lineage: Bacteria; Candidatus Saccharimonadota. The record is from RNAcentral.